Molecule: ribosomal RNA, 372 nt
Filed under: uncultured organism
Description: partial 16S ribosomal RNA
Rfam family: Bacterial small subunit ribosomal RNA
Source: RNAcentral
GUAGGUGGCAAGCGUUGUCCGGAAUUAUUGGGCGUAAAGCGCGCGCAGGCGGUUCUUUAAGUCUGAUGUGAAAGCCCACGGCUCAACCGUGGAGGGUCAUUGAAACUGGAGAACUUGAGUACAGAAGAGGAAAGCGGAAUUCCACGUGUAGCGGUGAAAUGCGUAGAGAUGUGGAGGAACACCAGUGGCGAAGGCGGCUUUCUGGUCUGUAACUGACGCUGAGGCGCGAAAGCGUGGGGAGCAAACAGGAUUAGAUACCCUGGUAGUCCACGCCGUAAACGAUGAGUGCUAAGUGUUAGGGGGGUUUCCGCCCCCCUUAGUGCUGCAGCUAACGCAUUAAGCACUCCGCCUGGGAGUACGGCCGCAAGGCUG